AGCAGCCGCGGUAAUUCCAGCUCCAAUAGCGUAUAUUAAAGUUGUUGCAGUUAAAAAGCUCGUAGUUGAAUUUCGGGGCCAGUAGGUUGGUCGUGCCACUGGUAUGCACUGGUCUCACUGGUCCUCCUUCUUGUAGAACCGUGAUGGCAUUAAUUUGUUGUUGCGGGGAAACAGGACUGUUACUUUGAAAAAUUAGAGUGCCUAAAGCAGGCUCGCGCUUGAAUACAUUAGCAUGGAAUAACGGAAUAGGACGAUCGAACCUAUUUUGUUGGUUUCUAGGAUCGACGUAAUGAUUAAUAGGGAUAGUUGGGGGCAUUAGUAUUCAAUUGUCAGAGGUGAAAUUCUUGGAUUUAUUGAAGACUAACUACUGCGAAAGCAUUUGCCAAGGAUGUUUUCAUUAAUCAAGAACGAAAGUUAGGGGAUCGAAGACGAUCAGAUACCGUCGUAGUCUUAACCAUAAACUAUGCCGACUAGGGAUCGGAUGAAGUUAUUUUUAAUGUACUCAUUCGGCGCCUUACGG
This 520-nucleotide ribosomal RNA is filed under the name uncultured Glomeromycotina. RNAcentral's name for it is "SSU rRNA". It matches the Rfam family "Eukaryotic small subunit ribosomal RNA", at positions 569 to 1093 of the family's 1831-position model. The record is from RNAcentral. Lineage: Eukaryota; Fungi; Glomeromycota.